AUACGGAGGAUCCGAGCGUUAUCCGGAUUUAUUGGGUUUAAAGGGUGCGCAGGCGGCCAUUUAAGUCAGCGGUUAAAUCGUGGGGCUCAACCCCAUUCUGCCGUUGAUACUGGGUGGCUUGAUUGCGGUCGAGGUUGGCGGAAUUCGUUGUGUAGCGGUGAAAUGCAUAGAUAUGACGAAGAACACCGAUUGCGUAGGCAGCUGACCAGACCGCAAAUGACGCUCAUGCACGAAAGUGCGGGGAUCGAACAGGAUUAGAUACCCUGGUAGUCCGCACAGUAAACGAUGAAUACUUGUUUUCGGCGAUAUAAUGUCGGAGGCAAAGCGAAAGAGAUAAGUAUUCCACCUGGGGAGUACGCCGGCAACGGUGAAACUCAAAGGAAUUGACGGG
This 391-nucleotide ribosomal RNA is filed under the name uncultured bacterium. RNAcentral's name for it is "partial 16S ribosomal RNA". It matches the Rfam family "Bacterial small subunit ribosomal RNA", at positions 523 to 917 of the family's 1533-position model. The record is from RNAcentral.